RNAcentral lists this ribosomal RNA (468 nucleotides) under uncultured bacterium. RNAcentral's name for it is "partial 16S ribosomal RNA". It matches the Rfam family "Bacterial small subunit ribosomal RNA", at positions 28 to 507 of the family's 1533-position model. The record is from RNAcentral.
GACGAACGCUGGCGGCGUGCUUAACACAUGCAAGUCGAACGGAAAGGCCCUGCUUUUGUGGGGUGCUCGAGUGGCGAACGGGUGAGUAACACGUGAGUAACCUGCCCUUGACUUUGGGAUAACUUCAGGAAACUGGGGCUAAUGCCGGAUAGGAGCUCCUGCUGCAUGGUGGGGGUUGGAAAGUUUCGGCGGUUGGGGAUGGACUCGCGGCUUAUCAGCUUGUUGGUGGGGUAGUGGCUUACCAAGGCUUUGACGGGUAGCCGGCCUGAGAGGGUGACCGGCCACAUUGGGACUGAGAUACGGCCCAGACUCCUACGGGAGGCAGCAGUGGGGAAUAUUGCACAAUGGGCGGAAGCCUGAUGCAGCAACGCCGCGUGCGGGAUGACGGCCUUCGGGUUAUAAACCGCUUUCGCCUGUGACGAAGCGUGAGUGACGGUAAUGGGUAAAGAAGCACCGGCUAACUACGUG